UGCUUGGGUAGCUCAGUUGGUAGAGCACUUUCUUCGAAAGGAACAGGUCCCGAGUUCGAGUCUCGGUCCGGCAC
RNAcentral lists this transfer RNA (74 nucleotides) under Schistocerca americana (American grasshopper). Its description in RNAcentral is "tRNA-Ser". It matches the Rfam family "tRNA". Rfam says of the family: Transfer RNA (tRNA) molecules are approximately 80 nucleotides in length. Their secondary structure includes four short double-helical elements and three loops (D, anti-codon, and T loops). The record is from RNAcentral. Lineage: Eukaryota; Metazoa; Arthropoda; Insecta; Orthoptera; Acrididae.